Molecule: non-coding RNA, 118 nt
Organism: Serratia sp. Leaf50
Lineage: Bacteria; Pseudomonadati; Pseudomonadota; Gammaproteobacteria; Enterobacterales; Yersiniaceae
Source: Rfam
ACAUCAGCCUGAACACAACAAUUAUUACCACCACCAUUACCAUCGGUAACGGGGCGGGCUGACGCGUACAGGAAAAACAGAAAAAAGCCCGCACCUAAACAGUGCGGGCUUUUUUUUU